GAUGAACGCUAGCUACAGGCUUAACACAUGCAAGUCGAGGGGUAACGAGAGGAAAGCUUGCUUUCCUUGUCGACGACCGGCGCACGGGUGAGUAACGCGUAUCCAACCUGCCCCCAACUAGGGAAUAACCUUGCGAAAGUAAGACUAAUACCCUAUAAUUUCCUCAGAUGUCAUCUGACGAGGAAUAAAGAUUUAUCGGUUGUGGAUGGGGAUGCGUCUGAUCAGCUUGUUGGCGGGGUAACGGCCCACCAAGGCAACGAUCAGUAGGGGUUCUGAGAGGAAGGUCCCCCACAUUGGAACUGAGACACGGUCCAAACUCCUACGGGAGGCAGCAGUGAGGAAUAUUGGUCUAUGGGCGGAAGCCUGAACCAGCCAAGUAGCGUGCAGGAUGACGGCCCUAUGGGUUGUAAACUGCUUUUAUACAGGAAUAAAGUUAGCCACGUGUGGUUAUUUGUAGGUACUGUAUGAAUAAGGACCGGCUAAUUCCGUGCCAGCAGCCGCCGUAA
RNAcentral lists this ribosomal RNA (506 nucleotides) under uncultured bacterium. Its description in RNAcentral is "partial 16S ribosomal RNA". It matches the Rfam family "Bacterial small subunit ribosomal RNA", at positions 28 to 523 of the family's 1533-position model. The record is from RNAcentral.